Molecule: unclassified non-coding RNA, 332 nt
Filed under: soil metagenome
Description: partial contains 5.8S ribosomal RNA, internal transcribed spacer 2, and large subunit ribosomal RNA
Rfam family: 5.8S ribosomal RNA (bases 1-120)
Source: RNAcentral
GAUGAAGAACGCAGCGAAAUGCGAUAAGUAGUGUGAAUUGCAGAUUUCAGUGAAUCAUCGAAUCUUUGAACGCACAUUGCGCCCGCUAGUAUUCUGGCGGGCAUGCCUGUUCGAGCGUCAUUUCAACCAUCAAGCCCUAGGCUUGCGUUGGAGCCCUGCGGCUGCCGCAGGCUCCCAAAUCCAGUGGCGGGCUCGUCGUCGUACCGAGUGCAGUAAACAUCCUCGCUCAGGGAACGUGACGGGUUCUUGCCGUGAAACCCCCCACAUAUCAAGGUUGACCUCGGAUCAGGUAGGAAUACCCGCUGAACUUAAGCAUAUCAAUAAGCGGAGGA